RNAcentral lists this long non-coding RNA (282 nucleotides) under Anser cygnoides (Swan goose). RNAcentral describes it as "lncRNA (ENSACDG00005013701.1)". Lineage: Eukaryota; Metazoa; Chordata; Aves; Anseriformes; Anatidae. The record is from RNAcentral.
AAGGACCCGUGGAUCGUUAUCUCAAACCCCAACCUUGAAGCCCCGAUCCAUCCAUUCCGAGCAGGAGAUUGGGUUUUGAUACGAGAAUGGAAGGAAUUGAAACUGCAACCUGAGUGGGACGGACCGUUCCAGCCAAGCCCCAGGACCACGUCCCCCAGCCCAGCACUGACACUUCGCUCACCUAACAUCCCAAAGAGAUGCAUCACGCUCCUUGCUCCUGCACUCGGAGCAUCUCCAGGUUCUAGGAUCUGCCAGGAUCUGGAACCGUUGGCAUCCGGCGCG